Macadamia integrifolia is the source of this 96-nucleotide small nucleolar RNA. RefSeq annotates it as small nucleolar RNA snoR109. NCBI's taxonomy places the organism in Eukaryota, Viridiplantae, Streptophyta, Magnoliopsida, Proteales, Proteaceae. The record is from RefSeq and is a predicted model, not a curated record. The transcript has a single exon.
AAGCUGUAGCAAAAUAGAUCGAUCUAAGAAGUUUACUAGCCAGUUGUGAGAUUUUCAUCUUUGUCGACAGAUCUGCUUACCAAAAUUCUUACAUUC